Molecule: long non-coding RNA, 3661 nt
Organism: Callithrix jacchus (white-tufted-ear marmoset)
Lineage: Eukaryota; Metazoa; Chordata; Mammalia; Primates; Cebidae
Source: RefSeq, a predicted model, not a curated record
GGUUUUACACUGGUGUGAACAGAAAAGGAACAGGCAGGCCAGUGGGGCCCCACCUGCCAGGAGCGCGCACACACACACACACACACACACACACACACACGCCCCACCCUCUGCUGCAGGGAGGCCCAUCAUCAUCAGAUGGGGGUCUGGGGCUCGGAGCUGAGGGCAGAAAGACUGUGCUGGAAUUAGGACCCUGGUGAUUCUGAAGCCCAGGUGUGGCAUUGUGAGGAAAAAGGGCCGUGGGAGCUUAAGGAAGGUGGGGUGUGGGAAUGGAGAAGACUUGAGGGCUGAAGGGAGAGGAAGGGGUGAAGUUGGUGAGGGGUCAUCAUAGAUAUAGAGCGUGUGUGUGCGUAUGUGUGUGUGCUCGUGUGUGUCUGGAGGGGUAGGGAAGACCUGGGCAGGGUAGAGGGAAAAACACCUCUUCAAUUCUGGGCCAGGCUCCAAGGAGCCCUGGAGGCAGAUAGGCUGGAAUUCCUCACCCAGCUCCAUCCCUUUCUCCCCUGACAGUGGCCCAGGAGAUGCCGCUGAGUUUAGGGCAAGCGGUGCCACCCACACUAUGCUCCAGCGAUGGUCAUGAUGCCCUGUCACACAUAUGAGCUCAUUUCUUCCUAGCUCUUGUGCCCUGAGUCGGACUGUGGAAGCGUGGACCUAGACGUUACCCAGACCAGAGGGUGGUCCUUGGCCCUGCUGGUGACCUCGGGCAAACCGCUUAACCUCUGGAAGCCUCAAUUUUGUCACGUAUGCUGGGACGAUAAUAGUUUUUGUCAGUGAACUUUGCUAAGCCUCAGGUGCAGCAAUGUUAAGUGGGACUGUGAUGUUCACGUGCCACAGCGGAGGAGAGCAUGAGAAGCAGUCAUGAACAGAAAGCCUUUGCGGGGCCCUGGGGUGCUCUCGGUUCUAUUUGAGAGUUGAGGAAGCUCACCCGGGCGGGGCUCAGGGGCUUCCUCAGCAUCACAGGUGGACCCAGGUUCCAUGGCUAUGGGUGGACAGCGGGCUGUCUGGCUCUUGGGGGCGUCCCCUUCUGUUUUUCCUGUUGAGCUGGACAGAGCCUCAGAACAACCUAGACUUCCCACGUUGCCAAAUCGCUUUCCAAAUGGGAAAUGUGUGACGAUUUCUGACACCUUCUCCAGACAUGGGAAAGGCUUUACGAAGGGAUCUCACACCUCUGCUGAGCCCUGGCAGGAGGGAGCUGGCCUUGACCUGCCCAGCGCAACAAAGCUUGAGUGCAAACAGCGAUUGUCCGUUUUAUAGGCCACAGCUGCUGGGAGAAACGUGAUGCUGAGCUUGCUGGGUUCCUGCGCACGGUUCAGAAUUUGCAAGUAAAAUGGAUUUUGUGUCAUUCACACUCAUCUGGAAUUUGAAUCAGCUCAGUGCUGCCCAGCUCCCCACUGGUGCUGGCUGCGGCUGGAGCUCGCCGUUCUCGGUGUGGUGAGCUUGCACCGCAGGCUUGGGGGAGCACGGCAGCUGCAUAUUGGUCCGGUUACCGUUACGGUUAUGGUUACUGUUUGCAAAGCGUUUCCCCCGCCUGGCUUGUGUAUAGGCCUCCCACAACCCUGUGAGAUGGAUGAGCCAGAAACUCUGCCCAUUUUCCAGGAGAGGCAGGGCUAGCCUCACAGGCCUGAGGCCUGUGCAGUCACAAACGACCCUGUGAUCAGGACCUGAGCUUCUUGGUUUAAUGCUCUUCUGCCAUCAUCUUGAAAUUUCAAUGAUUUUAUCUUUGAACCAGUGUUUUGUAGGUGAAGGCUGGUGGGACCGUGGAGCGGGCACAUGAGCCGAAGAUUCAUGCAAUAGACACGCCUGCUGUUCCUUGCUGCCUCAUUAGCACGUGUUCUUCUUGAUGCCCCAUGAGCAGAGAGUUCCAGGGAACCCAUGACACAUGGAGUGUGACUCGAAAAUGGCAUCAAAUAGCAAAUAAAAAACAUCAUAACAAGAUGAGAGAGACUGGAAGAAAGAAGAAAGCUCAGCGUUUUAGUUACUUUGAUGACACCUUUUUCCUGCUUUUUGAAGAAGAGUUCCCACAUUUUCAUUUUGAACAAAGAGCCCCACAAUUACGAGAACAAUCUGACAGAGGGCAUGGCGACUGCGGAUAGGAGGCCACCCAGAUCCCAGAGUUAUUCAGAGAGGAAGAAACCAAUGCUUUGAAAGGUUGAGCAACCUGCCCACAUUACUAGACUGGCAAGCAGCACAGCCAAUCACCAUGGACCCACAGACUCAGCCACCAACUUCUCUGCUGUCCUGCCUGCUAGAAGUAACACACCUGAUUCUUUUGUACCUGUGUCCCUGGACGUCAGGAUCCUCCUGGUAAGAAACAGAGUCGUUCAUUUCAUUUGUUUUUCUUUUAAAGUCAUGGAUCAUGGGAGUCCUCUUCCCGGCACCCUUUAACUGGUAACACUUCCUGUCUUGCCCUUCCAACAUUCUCCACAUAGCAAGGAGACAGUUAUCUAGUAAAAACCUAAUACGUGAUUAUCUUGCUUCCUACUUAAAAGAAAAUGCAAACUCCCUGAACACAACCUUACUUAACUCCCCGUGUGAUCUGCCUCAAGGCUUCUCUCCACGCUCCUCUCAUUGUGCUGUAGCCACAUUGGCCUAUCUUUGUUCCUCCAAUCUGCUAAGCUCUUUCCCACCCCAGGACCAGCUGAUGUUCCUCCUUUUGCCUGGGAUACUGUUCGUUCCUGUUGCUCUUUGCCUGGCCAACUGCAGCUCACUGUUCACUUUACAUCAUAACUGUAAAUUCAAGAUUUUACAUCUGCUUUGGUCAUCUGGCACAAAACGGAUGCUUGGUCAAUAACACAUUACUUCAUUUUCUGUUAUUUAGCCAGUACUCGCCAAAAAAUAGGAAAAAAAAGAAUAAUGAGAAUAAUACAUGAUGAGUAAUAAGACGUCCCAACUGUACAGAAGUUUUUCGAAGUGGUGAUGAGGAAAGUCUCCUUUGCUUCGCUGGCCCCUCCCUGGUCCCUCCCUGGCCCCUCCCUGUUGAGUGUACAUUCUUCCAGACCAUUUUCCAUGGACUUCGGUGCCAGGAUAAUUAUUAAGAUGCCAUUUUCUUUGCAUCUGGUAUUUUCUUUCCUCCCAACCUGCAAGGUGGCCAAACCUUCCUGAGUGGAGCAGGGGUUUCCUAAGAGCUUUUGGAGUUCAAGGCCCAGAAUAGAAGAUGUGGGCCACAGAGAACACAGAGCUCACCCAGGCAUUUGCUUCCAAAGUCAGGCAGCCAGGAGCUGUCGGCCCAGUUAUCUCACAGUGGUGGGCCUCUCAGGGGAGAUGUGAACCAACGUGAAGGAGGUGUGUGGGCUGGGCUGGCAAGGGUCAGGGUUUUGUGGUGCUAGAAGGGGCAGGAACCUGGACCCCCCUCACACACAUCCCCUGGAGUGGCCAUGGUGAGGGAAGUGUUUUGGAAGGACAUGGAUGUCAGGGGCACUCAGAGAGAGGGACUGCAGGUGCCCAGGCUCCUGGUUCACCAGGAUAUCUGUUCCCGAGUUUGGCAUGAAGACAGCAAAGCUGUCCACCCUUAUAGGAUCACCCGGGUUGGAUCAUCUGGGUUGGAUCCAGGUGCUAAAGCUCCAAAGCUGUUGGCAAGCCCUUAGAGAAUACUGAGGGGCCUGAAGAUGCGAGACCCUUCCCUGAAUUUCCUGGAGGUCUUGGACACUGGAGGGAACACCCAGCA